GGAGUUUGGGCCGUGUCUCAGUCCCAAUGUGGCCGUACACCCUCUCAGGCCGGCUACUGAUCGUCGCCUUGGUGGGCCGUUACCUCACCAACUAGCUAAUCAGACGCGGGUCCAUCCUAUACCACCGGAGUUUUUCACACUAUACCAUGCAGUAUUGUGCGCUUAUGCGGUAUUAUCAGUCGUUUCCAACUGCUAUCCCCCAGUAUAGGGCAGGUUACCCACGCGUUACUCACCCGUCCGCCACUAAGUGAUUCAAAUGAAUUCCAUCUGAGCAAGCUCUUCAGGUCUUCGGGAGAACCACUCCGUUCGACUUGCAUGUGUUAAGCACGCCGCCAGCGUUUAUC
This 344-nucleotide ribosomal RNA is filed under the name uncultured Coprococcus sp. RNAcentral's name for it is "partial 16S ribosomal RNA". Lineage: Bacteria; Bacillati; Bacillota; Clostridia; Lachnospirales; Lachnospiraceae. The record is from RNAcentral.